UGACCGAUACGAUCAGCCAAGAGAUAGACACGAGCGAUACGAUAGGCCGGGGGGCAGGACCGAUCGGCACGACCAACCAGAGGACAGAGUCAAUGCACACGAUCGGCUAGAAGAGAUGGUCGAUGCUCGGGUAUCAGACGAAAAUCCCUUGGGGCGGAAGCCAGAAUGGGAGCGCGCCAAACUGUCGGCUAAACCAGUGAACCCCAGAUGGUGCCCUGAUGGAUUGACCAAAUCCCAAAAAUGAAGGAUCCAGUGUCUCCGCCAAUGGGAACAAUAGGAGGAAGAGCAAUGACAG
Molecule: long non-coding RNA, 295 nt
Filed under: Setaria viridis
Lineage: Eukaryota; Viridiplantae; Streptophyta; Magnoliopsida; Poales; Poaceae
Description: long non-coding RNA (SVIR_LNC010579)
Source: RNAcentral